AAAAAUUAGUAAUAAGUUUCAUUUCUCUUUGUUCAUAACAUGGAGUUUUUAUAAAAAACAAUAAUAGUAACAAUAAUAAGAUUUUCAAUCAAUUAAAGGGUUUUAUUUCAUUUCUAUUCUUUUUAUCUCUUCAUUACCCUGUUUUGAUUUCCUUCUUUUUCCCUUCACAUUUAGUGCACUAAACAAAGCGUUAAUUUGAGCUGUAUACAAGAAUCACUUUUUCAAACUUGGCGGGGGUUUUCAAUAAUUUGACGCUCAAAACCCUAUAUCCCGACAAUUUCCCAUUUUUCAGAUUAGAGUUUUACACAGAGACAGUCACAGUCACAUUCAAACUGGCUCAUUCUGAUGCAAUUCAUAGACAUGAAAGCCAUGAAAUCGCUCUACAAUCACAAAACCCUCUUCUUCUCAUACCCAAUAAAAGCCCCUAACCAGCAUUGCUCCUUUCAUUUCCGUUCCCCCCAAUUCCACUCCACCGCCCUUCGUUUCUUGGCUGGAGGCUCCGUGGAUCCCUCCACAGGCUCCGACUCUAGCGAUAAAACUCAAAAUGCCCCUCAAGUUUGGAGUUUUUACAAUCCACUCACGUCAACAAUUGAGACGCAAAGGAGCACGAAUAACAGCAACAGUAGCAACAACAAAAACGAUCAAGAAUCGGUACCAGGUUUGUCAAAUCUCAAAAUUAGGGUUUCAGAUAAUGAAAGUGAGAUAUUGAAUAAUAGAGACAUUAACAAAAUGGGGUUAACGAGGUACAGUAAUGAAAAUGAGGAAUUGAUAAAUGAAAAGAGAUACGCAAGUUUAAAGAAAGCUGAUUUAGUUGAUAAUAUUGUGAGCAAUAAUAAUAGAAAGAAGGGCAGAAGUAAAGUGAUUUAUGUUUGUGAAAGUUGUGGGAAUGAAGAUGGGCAGUGGUGGGGGAUUUGUAGAAGUUGUGGGAAGGCUGGAACGAUGAAGCAAUUUUCAGAUAGGGAUGAUAGGAGUGGGAACAGUAGAGUUAGUGGUGCUGAGGUUACAGAAAAUAUGGUGAGGUCUUGGUUACCGCAGAAGGUUAGCCAGACGCAACCAUUGAGGUUGAAAGAUGUUAAUCAGAGGAUGAAUCAGUUGAAUUGGAGGAUUCCUUUGAUUAUGUUCUAGUUAAUGAGAAUCAGAGGACCAGUAAAUUGGAUUGGCAAUUCGGAAUAUCAUCUAUUUUGAGCAGAAUGUGUGCUAAAGCUGAGAUAGCAUCUUAUCACUGCCUAGGAGUUCCCAUUAUUAGUUUCUUGGGAUUUACCAGACAAUCUUGCCACUAAAUCUCUUUUUUUAUUGAGAACUCUUUCGUCUAAUUCCAUCCAUGCAUUUGGAAAUUAUUGCCAGAUCAUUAUAUGCUUUGUGGGCGUACAUCCAUAUUUCUUAGGCCUGACAGUAACACUAAGGUGUUUGCCAAUAAAUGCAAUUUGCUCGUUCAUUUCAGCAACUUAUUACACAAUUUAUAGCUGGUCCUAUAUAGUUGAGUUAGAAUCCAUUGCAUGCUUUAUUUAGAAGAAUAUGAAUAGAUGUUUUGUGUCAUGUCAUAUAAGUUUGUGGAUUGUGUUCAGACCUGGACUGUUUGGAAGUGAAGUUGCCAGGGUGCUUGGUGGUGGCGUCGUUCCAGGUUCUCUAAUUUUAAUUGGUGGUGAUCCUGGAGUUGGCAAGAGUACACUGUUAUUGCAGGUUGCUGCAAUAAUAGCUGAAGGACAGGAUGUUGGUAAACGAGAUCCAGUUGUGUAUGUCUCUGGCGAAGAGAGUGUUGAGCAAAUUGUGAAUAGGGCUGACCGUCUAAGUAUUGGUGUGGAGGAACUUUUCUUGUAUUCAAGUACUGAUAUUGAGGACAUAUUAGCAAAAAUUCAGCCUCUAUCCCCUUGUGCUCUAAUAAUUGAUUCGAUUCAGACAGCUUAUAUACAAGGAGUUAGUGGAAGUGCUGGAGGAAUAUCUCAGGUUAAGGAAUGCACAUCAGCUUUGCUGCGUUUUGCCAAGAAGACAAAUAUACCAGUUCUUUUGGUUGGACAUGUGACGAAGUCUGGUGAUAUAGCAGGACCUCGGGUCUUGGAGCACAUUGUUGAUGUUGUUUUAUAUUUGGAAGGAGAGAAGCACUCAACUCAUCGAUUACUUCGUCCUGUGAAGAAUCGGUUUGGAUCCACAGAUGAGCUUGGAGUAUUUGAAAUGUCCCAAUCUGGUCUGCAAUCUGUCUCAAAUCCAAGUGAGAUAUUUCUAAGUGAGCAGUACUUAGGUUCAGAGGUUUUAGUCGGACUAGCUGUUGCCGUAAUAAUGGAUGGAUCUCGAAGUUUCCUUAUUGAAAUUCAGGCAUUGUGUGCCACUGGUUCAUCAGUUUCAAGGCAUGUUAACGGGAUUCAAGCGAACAGAGCUGACAUGAUUAUUUCAGUUCUUAAGAAGCAAGCUGGUCUAAUGCUCCAAGAUAAUGAUAUCUUUUUGAAUGUUGUUAGCGGGGUCACACUAACUGAGACUGCUGGGGAUCUUGCAAUAGCAGCUGCAAUUUGCAGUAGUUUCUUGGAGUUUCCUAUUCCCAAUAAUGUGGCAUUCAUUGGAGAAAUUGGCCUUGGUGGGGAGCUUCGCACGGUGCCCAGAAUGGAAAAAAGAGUACAUACAGUGGCAAAAUUGGGAUAUAAAAUGUGUAUUGUUCCCAAAUCAGCUAAUAAAUAUCUUUCAAAUUUAGCUUUUGAGGGGAUACAAAUCAUUGGCUGUGCUAACCUGAGACAAGUCAUUGAUGCGGUUUUCACGAAGCAGAGAUGAAGUGAAGUUGGAAAAGAUGAUUUGGAUGUGGACCAGUGAAGAAAGACAUCCUAUUGCCUUGUAUGCGAGUUAACAGAGUAGGUUUAAAAGUUGGAGAUGAAAGGGGGUAUCAAGUUUAAAACAUGGGCAUCCUUGUUGGUCUGAUUCUGUCUUGGUAAUGCUGAGGGCUGCAGGGUUUUGUAGAGCUUGUGCUCGUUUCCUUUGGAUGUGGAUUGCGGAGUGCGGAGAUGCAUUUAGGUUUUCAUAAUGUAUGAAUUCAAGGCAAUAUGAAUUGACAUGUUUGCUCAGGCAACCUUCAUUUUAAAGGAAUGAGACUUGGUAGGUUU
Molecule: RNA transcript, 3083 nt
Organism: Ricinus communis (castor bean)
Lineage: Eukaryota; Viridiplantae; Streptophyta; Magnoliopsida; Malpighiales; Euphorbiaceae
Gene name: DNA repair protein RadA
Exons: 16
Source: RefSeq, a predicted model, not a curated record